This 445-nucleotide ribosomal RNA is filed under the name uncultured bacterium. Its description in RNAcentral is "bacterial SSU rRNA". It matches the Rfam family "Bacterial small subunit ribosomal RNA", at positions 354 to 796 of the family's 1533-position model. The record is from RNAcentral.
GUGAGGAAUAUUGCGCAAUGGAGGCAACUCUGACGCAGCCAUGCCGCGUGCAGGAAGAAGGCGCUACGCGUUGUAAACUGCUUUUAACCGGGAAGAAACCCCAGGACGUGUCCUGGGUUGACGGUACCGGAGGAAUAAGCACCGGCUAACUUCGUGCCAGCAGCCGCGGUAAUACGAAGGGUGCAAGCGUUAUCCGGAUUCAUUGGGUUUAAAGGGUGCGUAGGCGGAGCGUUACGUCAGUGGUGAAAUCCGGCAGCUUAACUGUAGACUUGCGAUAGAUACUGGCGCUCUUGAGUGCGCUUGAAGUGGGCGGAAUGUGCCGUGUAGCGGUGAAAUGCUUAGAUAUGGCACAGAACACCAAUUGCGAAGGCAGCUCACUAAGGCGAUACUGACGCUGAGGCACGAAAGCGUGGGGAUCGAACAGGAUUAGAAACCCCAGUAGUCC